GUGCAUCAUCAGUUACGGAUAGUCUGGUGUACUUAAACUUAGGAUAAAUGAGAAUAUUACCAGAUAGAGUUAUCAGAGCAGAGGCGGUAAAAGCUAUCGAGAGAAAAGAAAACUAGGGUUUGGUAUUUGGGGCAAAUCAAUCGAGUGUUUCAGGUGAGGAUCAGUUGAUUACAUAGCUUUGUAUACCUGUCAUGUGAUUUCACUGCUAGAUAUAAUUAUAAUUGUUGUUGUGUUGAUUGGUUUAAUCAGAGUUUGGGGGUGGCGAUUGGGUGGAGUAUGGAGGCUGGGUCGCUGGUAAUGGAGAGAAGCGGAGGUGGUGGUACAGCGGCGUAGAAGGGAGAGGCCGGUUGGGUGAUUGCAGCCGAUCGCCGGAGUGGCGCGAAGGUUGCAGGCGGCUCUGCCGCGGCUGUGCACCGCAGUGGCGAGACGCGCCGUUCACAGGGUAGAGAGAGAGAGAGGGGGGGCUGAAUGGAGGUGCUGGGCAUUGGCUAUGGCCGGAAUCCGGCGAGGCCUGGCGGCAGUCCCGAGGAGGCUGCCACGCGAGUUUUCCGGGAGAAAAACAAAAACAAAUAUUAAUUUUGUUUUUAUUAUUUUUAUUAUUGUUAUUUUUAAUAAAUGAUAACAAUAAUAUUAAUAAUAUUAAUAAAAUUAAUAUAUACUUUUGAUUGUUAUAUUUCUUUGCAAGGUGUAUUAUUAUUAUACUCUAUGACGUGAUUAUUAGUCAUAAAUUGUUUUUCUCGAUUCUUGUAUCAAUUUAUUAUGUUGAUAACAUGUGUAGUUAUGCAACUUAGCGGAUUAGAUACAAGAAUUUGAUUAUUGUGGACAAAUAUUGGGUUGAUUGUGGAUGGUUGGGAUUGCUCUAAAAUUAUAGAGAUGAUGUCCGGAUUUUUAAUUUUAUUAAGAUUUGGAUUUAAUUUGAGAAUCGAAUUAAGAUUAUAAUUCGGAUUCUGAUUAAGAUUUGGACUGAGAUUCUUGGAUUAUCAGUUAUAAUUAUUUAUAAAUAAUAAAGCAUGUCAAUCUCGUGAUACGUGACAAUGUGAUUACGUGUUUAAAUUAUAAAUAUUAUGUGUACAUAAUAAUUGAAAUAUUUAUAUAUCACGAAGGGUAGAAUCCGAAUUCGAUUUCUCGAUUUAGACGACAAUCUGAUUUGUUCGCCAACUAAAUUAUUAUAUUGUUGUUAUAUAUAGUCGACCAAGAUGUAUUAUCAAGGACGUUCAGAAUAGUUGAUUUGUAUUGUCGGAUUGUGUUGAGCCAGAAGCUAGAUGCCAAGGCAAUCUAAAGUUUUCGAGUAGCGUGACUGUGAUGUCACUAGUUCUGUUGUCAGAGGCAAGUUUUCUAAUUAUAACUUGUAUCUAUCGCAAGUAAUCUUUUGGUCGCUUCUAUUUAAAGAAAAUCAUUCAUAUUCAUAUUUUGUUAUGGUCACUAAUAGUGCAUAUCCUAUAGUUAAAAUUAUAAUAUUACUAUUUAUCUCUUAUAACUACUACAAGUAUUCUGCUCUACAUCUCUUUAUAACAAUUCAUAUUUAUUUUCUUCACUCAAUAAAUAUUUUGUGCCAUUGCACACAAGCAUUCAUAGUCUUUUGAAUGUUUUUAUAAGAUGUUAGUUGUUUUCAUUAUUUUAAAAAGGUGAGCUGAUAAAGCUAUGAAAGUAUUUAUUUUAAGAUUUUCAAUUCCUCUCUCUCCUAUUGAACUUGUACAGUAUACAAGUAUAUUGGUUGCAUGAAUUACAUUAUUCAAUUUCGAGCAUGAAAAACAGUUUUAUUUAUAUCAUCAUGUUGGACAUGUGUACACUCACAUCAUGUCUAAUAUUUUACCUACUGUCGUUUUAUAUAAAUGUUUUCCCCUUGAAAAGAACUUUUAUUUAAAUGUUUUAGAAAUGCUGAACCGUUAAUCUAACGGUUAGUAUUAUGAUUUUGAUAUAAAACAAGGUCGUCGAUUAUUUCGAUACCUUGCUUAUUUUGUGAUUGGAAGUACCCUCGGGGACCGUACGCCGGUCCAGUUACUAUUUAGGCCAAUGUGUGCCUUGGAUCCCUUAAAAUUUGGUGACAUGCUUCGUGCAUGAUCCGGUGCUAUCUCGCGACUGAUCAUCGGCUAUAGCAUAGCGUUAAAUUAUUCCAAUCCCUAAAAAUGUUGUGGAAGGUUUAUAUAUUAAUGCUAUUCUUUACUAGCAUUAAGUUUCAGAAAAGUUUUAUAAAUUAAUUCGAAGUUCAUAUUGUUGCUGAAGCAUUUGUUGCUCAGUGAUAGUUAGAGCCAAGAAUGAGUUGGGAUCUUCUUAUUUAUUCAACUCGUCAUUGUCAUGCUGGUUCAGCAACUAAAUAAAUGGAAAUUUAGUCGACGAUGGUGGACACUGAGUAUUUAGGGAUUUCUUGAACUGUGGUUUAUGAACAGUUGAUUAUCAAAAGUUAUUUUGAACUUCUCAAAUGAUUAAUUUUUGAAGCUCUUGCAAAGGUAUUAUUUUAUGAGAUUUGCUGCAAUGCAAAUCAAAAUGGUUUUAAAGAUUCUGAAGUGAAUCAAUUAUUUGAUUCAAAAUGUUUCUCAUAGUUAGAAACUCUCUCUCCAGUUUGGAAUUGCAUUACAAAUAUUUUAGUAGAAAUCCAUUACCUAUUGGAUUGGAAAUUUCCCCGCAUAUUAUAGAUUUAUCUUAUUAUGCUUCUAAAACUUAUCUUGCUGAGCAUUUUCGCUCACCCUUGCUAUUAUUUCUAACCCUUUCAGCUAGGGUUUAAGAUGAUCCAUCUGCGUAAGCUGCCCGUAAGAAUAAUGCUAGGCGAGAAUUCCAGAAAGAUGUCUACGAGAAUAAUUAUGGUUAGAAUUGCAUUAUUUCUGUUCAGUUGUAUAAUAGAUUUAUUUAUUUGGUUAUCAGUUACUCUUCUUAUCGAGGUUUAACUGAUACUGUAGUUUAAGUUGUAAUAAAAUUUGAUAGUUUUGGUUUCUGAUUUCAGUGCUGUAACCUAUUAGCGAUCCUGUUUUUAGGGGGUCAAAGUGAUUUUGAUUUAAAUCUCUUUUAAAAUUUCCAGAUUUUUAAAUAUUGGUUUUACCUUCUUCCGCAAAAUACAGGUUUUUAAAUGAUUUUCUUUUAGUGGCACCAAAUCCAGACCCCCGGAUUUUGGGGAUGUCACAGUUGGUAUCAGAGCUAUAGGUUAUAAGUUAUUGAAAUCAGAAUGUAGAUUGUCAUUAGAGAGAGUGCUUCUUGUAACCUCAAAUAGAGGUAAGUCGAGACUAUUGGGUAUAGUCUUUGUCAAUAGAGUUGAGAUUGAGAUUGGAUUUUUGAUUCUAAGUAAUCAUUUGGGACAUCCUAGUUUCUAGUUUUAGAACUAGUGAGUGUGGAUUUCAGGGAAAAAUGAUGGAACCUUUAGUUUCCAAUAUUUUUGAGGUUAAGUUGACUUUUCUGAGUAACCAGUGUCAGCUAGACUCGUGGGUAAACCUGUCUAGUCUAGAAUGUUUCUUUUCAUCUCUACCACUUCUUGAGUAUUGAUAGAGGGUCAUUAUUGAUUUUCAAGAGAUAUUUAUAGAAUGAGUAUGAGAUUUGUUGGGUUAGAGAUUCUUUGAUUUGAGAGUUAUAUAGAAUUCGUGUUAGGCUAUUUGACAUAGUGCUAUGAGUGGGCUAGAACGUCAAAGCUCUACAAUGCUGAUUGUAUAAAGCUGAAGAUGGCUUCUGACCGUGCCAAGCUGGAUACCACUUUUUACUACAGUGGAUUGCGUUGAUGGAAUCUUUAGAGUCAAAUACGAGUCGGCCAGAAUAUCAGAACAUCGAGAAGAAUCGUUAGAAUCGAAACGAGCCAUUAGAAGAAUCAAUCGAGAAGACAUUUGUGAUAAUGUUGGCAGUACCUUCCUCAUUGUUGAUUAUAUUGAUUAUUUUCCAAUCAAUAAAUUUUUAACAUCUCUUUUAUAAUGAUGUUUAUUAAAAAGUAUAUACUCUCUCUUGAGUAGUAUUGCUAUACUUGUGUUUACCCAUAUUUUGGGUUUGAAUUGUGACAGAGGCUAAUACGAUACCUAUUUUUAGGUUGUGGAAGCCCUGUCGAGUUUGUGAAAAUUCAUUUCUACUUUUUUUUUUUUUUCUUCUCAAAAUGGUGAAUCAUUCUAUUUCAAGAUAUCACCAUUUACUCGUUGUGUAUAAAUAUUCUUUCUGGUUAUUCUUUUCCUAUGGAAUAACACCUAAGAAAAUUUUUAGUUUUGAUCCAAGGUGUGCAUCAGAUUUAUCAGAUUUUAAUGCGUCAACAAACAAUGAUCAUUUAUUUGAUUUUAAAAUUCCUUUCAUAUUCAUUUCCUCUGACUGUACAACCCUAUUCAUAGGGGACACAAGGACUAUCUGUCUGUGUGAUAGAAGUCCGAUGGGACGCCAUCACUUGUGUGUUGUGCAUUACAAGAAGGUUAAUUACCUUUAGUAGUAUCUUUAAUUAGAUACGCAACAUAGUUCUUUGGAUCAUAUUGAUCUCUCAGUAAUUCAUAAUUUCAAAUUAGUUUUGUUUUUGAAACUAAUACAUAUGACUUACUUUGAUAUAUCAAAUAUGAUAUAUUUUAAAUUUUCAUGAUUCUUGUUUCUCCAAUUAAUUUUGAGGGUAUGCCAUCCAGGUUUGAACGAGCUAAUCAUGCUAGUGCAUAUCAAGAUUUCGUAUAAGACUAAAAUAAUGAAAGAAGAUCGUGAGGCGACUUGCAAACAAUAAUCUGCUCUAGUUCUCUCUUCGCUGAUUCCGAGGACGGAAUCCUUAUAAGGGGGGAAGUCUGUAAUGACUUGGAUUUUUUUAUUAAUUAUUAAUUAUUUUGUUGGUGUUUUUAUAAAAAGAGAAAGAAUAAACUUUUAUAGUUUAUUCCAGUUUGUUGGAUUUUCAAAAAAAAAAUAAUUAUUUUAUUAUAUAAUUAAUUCUCGGUCCAAUGAGAUGUUAAGAAUUUAAUUAUUUGAAAUAUUAUGUGGAUAAUAUUCUGAGGUGCAACUAUUUGAAAUUUUAUGCAAUUUUCCGAGUUACUGCAAUUAUGUGAUUAUUUGAUUUAAUUGUGGUACAUGUUAAAUGAGCAAUUUUAUUUGCUUAUUUUAUGUCCUAGUGAGUAGUUUAGAAAACGUGUUUAUUACACUUUUUAUAAAUCAAAGUUGUUCCUUGAUUUAGAAAUAUCAAAAGUCUGUGUUUACUUAUAUUACAAAAUUUUGUCCGAGCGGAUAAGAAAGAAUUUAGAUUUAUUAUAUUGCCUUUAUUAAAAUUGUUUUUUUUGUUUAAAAAUGAAUUUCUGUAUUUAAUUGCACCAAUAUUUAUUCAAGUUAAAAUUACCGAAAUAUUUCAGUUUUGGUAUUUUAAUAUUUUGAAUGAUUUGAAAAUAUUCAAAAGUCUCGCGAAUGAUUAUUUUAAUUAUUUGCAAUUUAAAAAUCAAUUCCGGGCAAUUAAAUAUAGAAAUUUCAAUUAAUUUAAAAAUAAAACUUUUUAUGUAUUUUACCCAUUCGGGAGUUUUUGGGAUUUGUGGUAUAUUUUGUUUUAAAUUUUGAAAUAUAUUUUGGACCCCAAAAAUAAAAAAUUAUUUUAUUUGCUUUUAAUUAAAGUGGAGGUGUGAUUUCUUUUAUAUACAAAUAUACUUCUUUUGAUUAGAAAUUGACAAGCAUGUGCAUCAUCAGUUACGGAUAGUCUGGUGUACUUAAACUUAGGAUAAAUGAGAAUAUUACCAGAUAGAGUUAUCAGAGCAGAGGCGGUAAAAGCUAUCGAGAGAAAAGAAAACUAGGGUUUGGUAUUUGGGGCAAAUCAAUCGAGUGUUUCAGGUGAGGAUCAGUUGAUUACAUAGCUUUGUAUACCUGUCAUGUGAUUUCACUGCUAGAUAUAAUUAUAAUUGUUGUUGUGUUGAUUGGUUUAAUCAGAGUUUGGGGGUGGCGAUUGGGUGGAGUAUGGAGGCUGGGUCGCUGGUAAUGGAGAGAAGCGGAGGUGGUGGUACAGCGGCGUAGAAGGGAGAGGCCGGUUGGGUGAUUGCAGCCGAUCGCCGGAGUGGCGCGAAGGUUGCAGGCGGCUCUGCCGCGGCUGUGCACCGCAGUGGCGAGACGCGCCGUUCACAGGGUAGAGAGAGAGAGAGGGGGGGCUGAAUGGAGGUGCUGGGCAUUGGCUAUGGCCGGAAUCCGGCGAGGCCUGGCGGCAGUCCCGAGGAGGCUGCCACGCGAGUUUUCCGGGAGAAAAACAAAAACAAAUAUUAAUUUUGUUUUUAUUAUUUUUAUUAUUGUUAUUUUUAAUAAAUGAUAACAAUAAUAUUAAUAAUAUUAAUAAAAUUAAUAUAUACUUUUGAUUGUUAUAUUUCUUUGCAAGGUGUAUUAUUAUUAUACUCUAUGACGUGAUUAUUAGUCAUAAAUUGUUUUUCUCGAUUCUUGUAUCAAUUUAUUAUGUUGAUAACAUGUGUAGUUAUGCAACUUAGCGGAUUAGAUACAAGAAUUUGAUUAUUGUGGACAAAUAUUGGGUUGAUUGUGGAUGGUUGGGAUUGCUCUAAAAUUAUAGAGAUGAUGUCCGGAUUUUUAAUUUUAUUAAGAUUUGGAUUUAAUUUGAGAAUCGAAUUAAGAUUAUAAUUCGGAUUCUGAUUAAGAUUUGGACUGAGAUUCUUGGAUUAUCAGUUAUAAUUAUUUAUAAAUAAUAAAGCAUGUCAAUCUCGUGAUACGUGACAAUGUGAUUACGUGUUUAAAUUAUAAAUAUUAUGUGUACAUAAUAAUUGAAAUAUUUAUAUAUCACGAAGGGUAGAAUCCGAAUUCGAUUUCUCGAUUUAGACGACAAUCUGAUUUGUUCGCCAACUAAAUUAUUAUAUUGUUGUUAUAUAUAGUCGACCAAGAUGUAUUAUCAAGGACGUUCAGAAUAGUUGAUUUGUAUUGUCGGAUUGUGUUGAG
This 6834-nucleotide long non-coding RNA is filed under the name Daucus carota (carrot). RNAcentral describes it as "long non-coding RNA (DCAR_LNC006371)". Lineage: Eukaryota; Viridiplantae; Streptophyta; Magnoliopsida; Apiales; Apiaceae. The record is from RNAcentral.